CCUACGGGCGGCAGCAGUGAGGAAUAUUGGUCAAUGGCCGGAAGGCUGAACCAGCCAUGCCGCGUGAAGGUCAGUGCCCUAUGGGCGUUAAACUUCUUUUGUGCGGGAGCAAUAAUGGUCACGUGUGGCCAGACGAGAGUACCGUACGAAUAAGCAUCGGCUAACUCCGUGCCAGCAGCCGCGGUAAUACGGGGGAUGCAAGCGUUAUCCGGAUUUAUUGGGUUUAAAGGGUGCGUAGGCUGUGAGGUAAGUCAGCGGUGAAAUGCCGCCGCUCAACGGGGUGAAGUGCCAUUGAUACUGCCUGGCUGGAAUGCGGAUGCCGUGGGAGGAAUGUGUGGUGUAGCGGUGAAAUGCAUAGAUAUCACACAGAACACCGAUUGCGAAGGCAUCUCACGAAUCCUCGAUUGACGCUGAUGCACGAAAGCGUGGGUAUCAAACAGGAUUAGAUACCCUUGUAGUC
RNAcentral lists this ribosomal RNA (460 nucleotides) under uncultured bacterium. Its description in RNAcentral is "partial 16S ribosomal RNA". It matches the Rfam family "Bacterial small subunit ribosomal RNA", at positions 338 to 795 of the family's 1533-position model. The record is from RNAcentral.